UGCAGUCGAACGGUGAAGCCAANNUUGCUUGGUGGAUCAGUGGCGAACGGGUGAGUAACACGUGAGCAACCUGCCCUGGACUCUGGGAUAAGCGCUGGAAACGGCGUCUAAUACUGGAUAUGAGCUCUCAUCGCAUGGUGGGGGUUGGAAAGAUUUUUCGGUCUGGGAUGGGCUCGCGGCCUAUCAGCUUGUUGGUGAGGUAAUGGCUCACCAAGGCGUCGACGGGUAGCCGGCCUGAGAGGGUGACCGGCCACACUGGGACUGAGACACGGCCCAGACUCCUACGGGAGGCAGCAGUGGGGAAUAUUGCACAAUGGGCGGAAGCCUGAUGCAGCAACGCCGCGUGAGGGAUGACGGCCUUCGGGUUGUAAACCUCUUUUAGCAGGGAAGAAGCGAAAGUGACGGUACCUGCAGAAAAAGCGCCGGCUAACUACGUGCCAGCAGCCGCGGUAAUACGUAGGGCGCAAGCGUUAUCCGGAAUUAUUGGGCGUAAAGAGCUCGUAGGCGGUUUGUCGCGUCUGCUGUGAAAUCCCGAGGCUCAACCUCGGGCCUGCAGUGGGUACGGGCAGACUAGAGUGCGGUAGGGGAGAUUGGAAUUCCUGGUGUAGCGGUGGAAUGCGCAGAUAUCAGGAGGAACACCGAUGGCGAAGGCAGAUCUCUGGGCCGUAACUGACGCUGAGGAGCGAAAGGGUGGGGAGCAAACAGGCUUAGAUACCCUGGUAGUCCACCCCGUAAACGUUGGGAACUAGUUGUGGGGACCAUUCCACGGUUUCCGUGACGCAGCUAACGCAUUAAGUUCCCCGCCUGGGGAGUACGGCCGCAAGGCUAAAACUCANGGAAUUGACGGGGACCCGCACAAGCGGCGGANCAUGCGGAUUAAUUCGAUGCAACGCGAAGAACCUUACCAAGGCUUGACAUAUACGA
RNAcentral lists this ribosomal RNA (924 nucleotides) under Microbacterium sp. XYY-2015. RNAcentral describes it as "bacterial SSU rRNA". It matches the Rfam family "Bacterial small subunit ribosomal RNA", at positions 56 to 993 of the family's 1533-position model. Lineage: Bacteria; Bacillati; Actinomycetota; Actinomycetes; Micrococcales; Microbacteriaceae. The record is from RNAcentral.